UGGGUGCUGAGGCCAUCCCGGGAGUGGCGGUGGAGAGCCCCCCUGAGCAGGACAGCAGCACAGAGGGCAGGCAGCCAAGCCAAGAGGCUGGGAGGGCCGAUCCCUGCUGGUGGCGUCGAGCACCCAGCUGGCAAAUGGAGCACUCUGGCAUGGCUACAACAUGGAGGAUUUAGGCUAGCUUCAAGGAAGAACUUCCAGAUAACACUGCAAGGCUCCAGUCUAACCUGGAGCCCAACUGGACUCAAGCCAUAUCUGUUGGGGGCCUGCUAUAGACUGCUACCCAAGUUAAUCCUCGUUUUGGAGGACAAGACUGAGGCUCAGAGAAGGGAGGCAAGUGGCCAUAGCGAGGACGUGUGGACCAGGCAGCAGGCCCAGACGCUGCUGCUACUCUCUGGGGAGGUGGCCGAGGUGGCUUGCCCGCGUGCCGGGGGCUCUGGCGCCAGUGGCACGUGUGCUGGGAGCGCCUGAGCCAUGGUGGCUGCACGGGCUGCCCAGAGGCGCCCAGAGGGCUUGCGCACACAGCGGGCCGGCUCUUGGCCCGGCCCCGCCCGGCUCCCCUCCCGGCUUUGUCUUGCUUUGCUUGGGGGAGUCACGCUCAGGUGACCACCAGGCCCAGUGUCUGGAGCCUGUACAGGGGAGGCCACAGCCUGCGCCGCCCGCCGGCCCUCCGGACACCCCUUCCUUCCUUCGGGCCUUGCGGGACCCUGUUCCCCACUUGCACAGCGGAGGUCUUUCCAGAAUACGCAGGGCACCUCGCUCCUUCUGGAAUGCGAUGGGUCCCUCGCUGCCCUUUCCGCGCUCCCUACCCCUGAUGUCAUAUGCGGUUCUCGGGGGUUUUGAGCUGGUUUCCCACCACUUGUGGGGUGAGCUUAUCCCCAGUGGAGAUGCCAAGGUGCUCCACUGCCCUGCGUGGGGAAGUCCACGUCUGUGGCUAUUUGUCCUGCCUGCUCCCACCCUCUACCUCCCCAUCUUAUGCCAACAGUGCCUCUUUUUCCUCAGAAGACCCCCUCCAGCCUUUCCUAGUCCAUGUGGUUUGGGGGAAGUUAACCGUCUAUACACAGGCAUCAAAGAGAAACAUAGGACCUAGAUCCGGCCAGUCAGUGCGUUUCAUACCCUUUGAUCCGGUCACCAGGCUGAGGAUGGACAUGCGACCUGGGCCCAGCCAUCCUGUGCUGGGACUUGCAAUGGACUCCUAUGAAUGAGAAGCCCUCUCCCUCUGAGGCGCUGCCAGGGCACCUCACGCAGGCACCUGACAGAAGGGUGAGGCCAACACGGAAAGCAGAGCUAAGGGAGCUCCUGAUGACACAAUCUGAGCCCCGGGUCAGGCCAGGCCUGGCGCUGCCCUGACUUGCAUGGGGAUGGGGCGCCGUGGGGCGGGGACUAAAGCCGUCGAAGCUCAGUGCUAGCUCAGGCGCUGAUGCUCGUGUGUGAUGGUGUGUCAGCACAGACUGAGGAGGGGAGAGGACUCCAGGGAGAGAAGCCCCAAGGGUGUGCACGCACAUACGCGUGUGGGCACACGCACGGCUCAGGCCAGACCAGCGCAGGUCAUGAGGGGCUUGCAGCCAACGCGGGGAGCGCCGGUCCAGUGGAAGAGGGGGGUUACCACGUUGCCGGGAUCCCUGCGUGACGCACAAUCAGCUUUGAAACGACAGUGAAAAUGAGGCACGUUAGGCAGCCGUUAAGAAGCGUGACGGGCGCCUGAGUCAGAGCAGCAUUUCAUAUGGGGCAGCGGCCCCGUGGAUCUCUAAACAGCCUCGAGCCUUCAUCUCUCCCGAGGAAGAAAUGCUCAGCCUUGUUAUCUUUAUGCAUGUUCAGGGCCUUCCAAGGCACCGUCUCCUGGGCUCCAUGGGAGGAGAGGGGUCGGGUCAAGGUCACACAGCCUGUCGGUCAAGGGCAGACACAUGGAUGAGGUUUGCUUAGGAAAACCCAGGCCCCACCAGAGGCAGGUUCGGAAGCUGAAACCACAGGGCUCCUCAGUGCACGGCCCCGUCUGGGGCCCUCACCUAGUUCCGGGUUCCUUUACUGAGAAAGCUCCGCCCGAAGGCCUGGGUAAGUCCUAAGCUUUAGGCCCCACAAGGCGUGGAUCAGCCCCUACUCCCAACGACACCCGAGGCAGAGGCCAAGGCCGCUUCCCGCUUGCUUCUCCCUCGCCUUCCCGAGCCUAACCCCAAGGGCGCGGCCACGGACUGCACACAGGGGCUCCCGGGCCUCUGCUCCUCCUCACUGGCAGAUUCUUCCUAUGACUGAUGAUUCAGAGCCUUGUUAUGCCAACGACAUCGACAGAGACCCAUUCUGUUCGACGCUCACAGGCUGUUUUUCAAGGGUUCUUCAUCUUCCAAACGAAACCAAAUCCUCCUGCUUCUGCCCGGGCCAGUGAGGGGCCCAGCCCGCAGAGAGGGAGCGGCUCCGGGAGACCCUCAGCCUGCCGCCUGGUGGCCCAGGAGCCCACCCCCACCUGCGCGCCUCCCGAGGAGCCCUGUCCCGCCCUCGAACCUGUCAGGGCUGAGGCGGGCUGGAAGUCACAGCUGCAGGCUCUGUUGCUUGGCCCUGACUCAGUUUCCACCCAGACGUCCUCUCCCUACCCCUCGGGCCUUCCUACACUUUCAUGGGCCUCCCAGUCAGCAGCCUAAAGGGAUGCACCUGCCCUACCCGCCCCAGGGCAGAGGAGCCCAGCGCUGGCAGCUCUGAAUUAGAGCACGGGGGCUGCGUGGGCGCGGUGGGGGUGUGGGGACUGGCCCCUGCCCAGAGCCCCCUGGGGGCUUUGCACCUUCCCCUCCCUGGGCCUCCAGGCAGCCCUGUCGCUCAGGCUGAGAGGACCCCGUUUCUCUCGGAGGACGGGACAGACGUGAAGGGUUUUGCAGAGCUGCUUCAAAGUGAUGGUGAUGGUGAUAAUGCUAUAAUGAUAAUUACCAUUAUUAUAGCAUGAUCACGACUGGCAUUGACUCAGAAAGGUCUGCGCAAAUAAUCCAUAACCAGCCUAUCAGUGAAAACUGGGGUGAGUUUAUCAGGAGCCAGAGUGAGGGUGAGGCGUUCGGAGAAGCAUGGCUGUCAGAACGGUCUCGUCUCCUUUCGGAACAAGCAGCACACGUCAAACACACCAGGAUACGUUGCCAUCAGAACGUCACAGAGGCCUUCAGAGGCGCAGCAGCAGGCCACCAGGACCCUGCUGAGAGGACCAGGCGUCCCCCAGAGGGCGCGGGAGGGGCCGGCUGCAUCCUCGUGUGAAGAGAGCGCAGUCCGGACUCACUGGUCAAGCAGACGCACGUCUCGGGUUGACAGGCAGUGAGUCAGGCUUUCAGUUCAAGCCGAGUCAGUUAUGAAGCCGAAUAGUCGCCCCUUAGCCCUCGCUGUGUGACGCUCUCUCGUGCGCACUUAGCACAGACCCGGCCCCGUCUACUGGCUUUCCAAGCGUUCACGCUUUCGAUCCUCACUCCGUCCAAGGAGGACGGUGGUACUUCUAUAAAAUUUGUCUUUUCCACUUUCUGGGGCUUCUUUGCUUUUAUUGCAACGGAAUCCACGCUCGUUGGAGCAAAUCAAACGGGAUAGCGAGGUGCGAAGAGCAAGGUCACCGUCUCCCCCCACAGGCCGCUCUCUCCUUCUCCACCCCUGUCCAUUUCCACUCUCCUGGAGCCACCAAGGCAGGUGGUUCCACGUAUCCAGUCUGUCCUCAUGCCAACACAUCACGCACGUACAAGAAGGCUCUCUUAGAAUUAUGCUCCCCAUUUUGUGCAUCAGGAGAAUGCAGCCCAGAGAAGUUAAGUGACUUGGCCAAGGUCACACAGCAGGCAAGUGGAGGAGCUAGCACUUCCUUGACUCCCAAGUUUAACGGCAAAGCCUGUGACUUUGCCCACCAGCCUACACUGCCUCCACAGUGUGGGGGGAAGAAUACCACAGUGGUGAUGUGCCCAUCUCAUCACAGGGCAUGAGCAUGACUUAUCACAGGAGACGUUAACUUGACCGAUUGGAGGAUUAGUUUGCUGGGGUUGCCGUAACAAACACCACAGACUGGGUGCUUAAACGGCAGGAAUUCCUUGCUCACCGUUCUGGUGUCUGGGAGUUCUAGAUCAGCGUGGCAGCAGGGUUGAUUCCUCCCAACGACUCUCACCCUGCUUGCGGAUGGCCGCCUUCUCCGUCCGUCUGCACAGGGUCUUUCCUCUGCGCGUGUGUGCAUCCCAAUCUUUCCUGACGAGGACAUCAGUCAGGUUGGGUUAGGGCUGACCCUAGGGACCUCCUGUAAACUCAUGGCCCUCUUUAAAAGCCGUGUGUCCAAAUACA
Molecule: long non-coding RNA, 4275 nt
Organism: Equus caballus (horse)
Lineage: Eukaryota; Metazoa; Chordata; Mammalia; Perissodactyla; Equidae
Source: Ensembl